UACGUAGGGGGCAAGCGUUAUCCGGAUUUACUGGGUGUAAAGGGAGCGUAGACGGCAUGGCAAGUCAGAUGUGAAAGCCCGGGGCUCAACCCCGGGACUGCAUUUGAAACUGUCAGGCUGGAGUGCAGGAGAGGUAAGCGGAAUUCCUAGUGUAGCGGUGAAAUGCGUAGAUAUUAGGAGGGACACCAGUGGCGAAGGCGGCUUACUGGACUGUAACUGACGUUGAGGCUCGAAAGCGUAGGGAGCAAACAGG
This 253-nucleotide ribosomal RNA is filed under the name uncultured bacterium. RNAcentral's name for it is "partial 16S ribosomal RNA". It matches the Rfam family "Bacterial small subunit ribosomal RNA", at positions 524 to 776 of the family's 1533-position model. The record is from RNAcentral.